AGGUUACGUCAAGACUCACGGCUAUUAACCGUAGGCUUUUCUUCUCUACUGAAAGUGCUUUANAACCCGCAGGCCUUCUUCACACACGCGGCAUUGCUGGAUCAGGCUUGCGCCCAUUGUCCAAUAUUCCCCA
RNAcentral lists this ribosomal RNA (133 nucleotides) under uncultured bacterium. RNAcentral's name for it is "partial 16S ribosomal RNA". The record is from RNAcentral.